CAUUAAAGUUCGAAACCAAAGUUUGGAUGUCGUAUGUUCAGAAAGUAACGUCACCCAAAAUUUUUUUUUCUCUUGACGUCAUCGAUCUAAAAUCAGCUAGUCGAAUUGCUCAGUCUGGGAACAACCGCGCAGUAGAGCGGACGGAUGAGAAUCGCGCUCCGCAGAUUUCCAUUGCCGGGUUCUCUACCUCCUGGAUCCUGCGCUCCGGGUCCGCUUCCUGGUAUAACUCGAGUUCCAGGACAAGCGGUACGUAGUUUUUACGCUCUAGGUCCGCUACCUGUUGAAAACUCGACUUCCAGGAAAAGCGCUACGUAUUUUCUGCGCUCAAGGUCCACUACUUGCGGAAACUUGACUUCCAGGACAAGCGCCCGAUGGUUCCUGCGCUCCAGGUCCGCUACCUGGUAAAAUUCGACUUCCAGGAAAAGCGCUUCGUAGUUUCUGCGCUCAAGGUUCACUACCUGGUGAAACUCGACUUCCAGGACGAACGCUCCGUGGUUUCUGCGCACCAGGUCCGCUACCUAGUAAAACUCAAUUUCAGGAAGAAGUGCUCCGAAGUUUCUGAGCUCAGGUUCACUACCUGGUGAAACUCAACUUCCAGGACAAGCGCUCCGUAGCUUCUGCGCUCCAAGUCCACUACCUAAUGAAACUCGACUUCAGAGACAUGUGGUGAAUGAGGAGGAAGAGGACGAGGAUUUCUGCUCAGUAUAACCCGAGGUGGUUAACGGUGGUUGGAAGUGGUCGGAGUUGAACGAGGAGGAGGACGAGGACUUGUGCUCGGUAUAACCCGAGGUAGUUCGCGUUGGUUGCGGGUGAUCGAGGUGGGCGAGGAGGAGGACGAGGAUGACGACGACUUGUACACUUUCUGUGCCCCACGUGGUGAUCCACUAGUACACAUCCUCCGACGUGACAUCGCUGUGCUACGUAUAAA
This 928-nucleotide long non-coding RNA is filed under the name Neodiprion lecontei (redheaded pine sawfly). RNAcentral describes it as "uncharacterized LOC124294961". Lineage: Eukaryota; Metazoa; Arthropoda; Insecta; Hymenoptera; Diprionidae. The record is from RNAcentral.